UUUUGGGUCAGGAUGAACGCUGGCGGCGUGCUUAACACAUGCAAGUCGAACGAUGAUGCUGGUGCUUGCACUGGUGGAUUAGUGGCGAACGGGUGAGUAACACGUGAGUAACCUGCCCCUGACUUCGGGAUAAGCCCGGGAAACUGGGUCUAAUACCGGAUAUGACUUCCUGCUGCAUGGCAGGGGGUGGAAAGAUUUAUCGGUUGGGGAUGGACUCGCGGCCUAUCAGCUUGUUGGUGAGGUAAUGGCUCACCAAGGCGACGACGGGUAGCCGGCCUGAGAGGGUGACCGGCCACACUGGGACUGAGACACGGCCCAGACUCCUACGGGAGGCAGCAGUGGGGAAUAUUGCACAAUGGGCGAAAGCCUGAUGCAGCGACGCCGCGUGAGGGAUGACGGCCUUCGGGUUGUAAACCUCUUUCAGUAGGGAAGGAAGCCCCUUUAGGGGUGACG
This 453-nucleotide ribosomal RNA is filed under the name uncultured Arthrobacter sp. RNAcentral describes it as "bacterial SSU rRNA". It matches the Rfam family "Bacterial small subunit ribosomal RNA", at positions 17 to 474 of the family's 1533-position model. Lineage: Bacteria; Bacillati; Actinomycetota; Actinomycetes; Micrococcales; Micrococcaceae. The record is from RNAcentral.